Molecule: ribosomal RNA, 228 nt
Filed under: uncultured bacterium
Lineage: Bacteria
Description: partial 16S ribosomal RNA
Rfam family: Bacterial small subunit ribosomal RNA
Source: RNAcentral
CGCGUAGGUGGUUAAUUAAGUCAGAUGUGAAAGCCCAGGGCUCAACCUUGGAACUGCAUUUGAAACUGGUUGACUAGAGUUUUGUAGAGGGUGGUAGAAUUUCAGGUGUAGCGGUGAAAUGCGUAGAGAUCUGAAGGAAUACCAGUGGCGAAGGCGGCCACCUGGACAAAGACUGACACUGAGGCGCGAAGGCGUGGGGAGCAAACAGGAUUAGAUACCCUGGUAGUC